AGAGUUUGAUCCUGGCUCAGAGUGAACGCUGGCGGCGUGCUUUACACAUGCAAGUCGAACGAGAACGGAUUAUAGCUUGCUAUAAUUGUCAGCUAAGUGGCGCACGGGUGAGUAAUGUAUAGGUAAUAUGCCUCUUACUAAGGGAUAACAAAUGGAAACGUUUGCUAAUACCUUAUACUCCUUAUUAACAUAAGUUAAUAAGGGAAAGAUUUAUUGGUAAGAGAUUAGCCUGUAUUGUAUCAGUUAGUUGGUGGGGUAAUGGCUUACCAAGACUAUGACACAUAACUGGUUUGAGAGGAUGAUCAGUCACACUGGAACUGAGACACGGUCCAGACUCCUACGGGAGGCAGCAGUGGGGAAUAUUGCACAAUGGACGAAAGUCUGAUGCAGCAACGCCGCGUGGAGGAUGACACAUUUCGGUGCGUAAACUCCUUUUAUAUGAGAAGAUAGUGACGGUAUUAUAUGAAUAAGCACCGGCUAACUCCGUGCCAGCAGCCGCGGUAAUAC
This 507-nucleotide ribosomal RNA is filed under the name uncultured bacterium. Its description in RNAcentral is "bacterial SSU rRNA". It matches the Rfam family "Bacterial small subunit ribosomal RNA", at positions 8 to 526 of the family's 1533-position model. The record is from RNAcentral.